AUAAAAAUUUUUGUUUUUUCUAAAAAUUCUAGCGUUAACUUCAAAAUUUCUUGUUGUACCAAUCUUGGUCGUAUUGGACUCUUGGACACUUGGACUUUAAAAUGUAGCAUCCAAAUAAUUAUAACAAUUAAGUUUGUUAUAUAUAUAUUAUAUUUCUGUUGAUUUGAACACAUCUCACAUCAUCACAAAUUUUAAAAAUAAGGAGGCACCACCCAAUCCAUCCGUGGCAGAACAAUAGGAAAACUAUGUCUCAAUUUUUAACCAUAUAUAAACUUUCAUAUAAACUAAGUUAAGAAAGAGAUUCUUUCUCUAUAAAAUUUCUUUACACUGGAUAAAAAUUUCCACAUAUUAAAAUGGAGUGAAGUUAAGGAUACGUGUUGUUUCAUUAUACACUACUAUAGAUAAUGAUUCCUUCGACUUCGUAAAUUUUUAUAAUACACAUUUCAUUUAUAAAAAUCUUACUAUAUAUCCUUAUCUUAUGCAAGUUGCUUUGGUUAACAGUACUAUAUUAAUGUAUAAUAUUCAUUAUUUAAUAAAAGACCAGAUUUUUUUUGAAGAGAGUUUCUCUUUUGGUUAUCAACGGAUAUAAUGAAUGAUUGACUGGUGGAAGGAAGCACAUACAAUAUUUAAAAGCAAUUACAAUGAAAACAUAUAUAUACAUGUAUAUAUACAUGUAUGAAAAUUUAUAGUACAAAUCUAUAAUGAAAAAAUAACCCCAAAAGAAUUACUUUAAUUAAAACUCUCAAGUGGAUCAAAGUAAAUCUGUUGAAAUCAAUUAAGCAUAUCACUUGAGAUAUGUAUACCUGAUGAUUUUACAGAAUUUAUUGAAGCGAUCUUUUAUGGGAUCAUUACUUAAUUUGUGUUAAUUAACUAAUUACCAUUAGUUUAAUUUGAUCUUGAUAAAAACUUUCUGAAAAAUAAAUUUAAAAUAGAUAUACGUAUA
Teleopsis dalmanni is the source of this 943-nucleotide long non-coding RNA. RefSeq lists it as uncharacterized. Lineage: Eukaryota; Metazoa; Arthropoda; Insecta; Diptera; Diopsidae. The record is from RefSeq and is a predicted model, not a curated record. The transcript is spliced from 6 exons.